GCGGGAUUAGUACAGUGGUAGUAUGUGACCUUCCCAAGGUUAAGGCGCGAGUUCGAUUCUCGUAUCCCGCUCAA
This 74-nucleotide transfer RNA is filed under the name Candidatus Harrisonbacteria bacterium CG10_big_fil_rev_8_21_14_0_10_38_8. RNAcentral describes it as "tRNA-Gly". It matches the Rfam family "tRNA". Rfam says of the family: Transfer RNA (tRNA) molecules are approximately 80 nucleotides in length. Their secondary structure includes four short double-helical elements and three loops (D, anti-codon, and T loops). Further hydrogen bonds mediate the characteristic L-shaped molecular structure. tRNAs have two regions of fundamental functional importance: the anti-codon, which is responsible for specific mRNA codon recognition, and the 3' end, to which the tRNAs corresponding amino acid is attached (by aminoacyl-tRNA synthetases). tRNAs cope with the degeneracy of the genetic code in two manners: having more than one tRNA (with a specific anti-codon) for a particular amino acid; and 'wobble' base-pairing, i.e. permitting non-standard base-pairing at the 3rd anti-codon position. The record is from RNAcentral. Lineage: Bacteria; Candidatus Harrisoniibacteriota.